UGUGUGUGUGUGUGUGUGUGUGUGUGUGUGUGUUGAAGAGAGAGAAUGAGUGAGUGAGAGAUCUGUGUGAUUGAGUGAGGGUUAUGGUGUGUGGCUGAAAGGAUUAGAGCACAAGGUGGUGUGAACUGUACGAGAGCUCAUCAACUGUGUGUUUGUGUGUGUUGUCUUUGUGUCUGAGUGCCAUAUCAACGUAAUGUGUGUAUUUCUCAUUAUAAGUGUGUGAACUCACAUCUGUCUCCUGGUGAUACUUGAUCAAUCCUUGAGAUGUUAAUUCAUGGUGUCUCUUUCUCUAUCUCUCUUCCUCACACACACACACGCACGCACGCACACAUACACACACACACACACUGACUUGUUCUGACAGAAUCCAUGGGGUGAAAUAUAAUGACCUGGAGAACCAUUCAACAUCUCUCCUAUCAACACCAUCCGUCCUAUUGUUUACCACCCAUUCUUCCUCCUGUCCUCCUCUUCCUCCCUCGCAAGAUGAGUCAAUCCUGUUGCCCUUUUCCUUUUAUCCUCCUCUCAGCUUUUCUUUCUGUCUUUUAUAUAGAACGCUGUCUUCCCUCUCUCCUUCCUUCAAUUUUUUUCCUUUCUCCUCCUUUAUUCCAUUUUCUUACCCCUUCUCUUAAGGCCUCUCUUCUAUCUGCAUCUGUCCUCCCUUCCUUUCCUUCACCCCUUCUUGUCUUCGUUUUUCUUAGUAUUCUGUUAAAGUCACAACCCUAUUCAGUUCACGUGCUCAUCACUAAAUGACAAACCAGAGACAGCUUCCGCCUUUUAAAGGCCAAAGCGAGAUGUGUGCAAAUCUAUCUCUCCCUCUCUCUGUCCUUUUUACCGCUCAUACAAUAUGUGUUUUUUUGAGCCACCCUGAGCUGUCUAAAACUACAAGUAAUUGCACUAUUCACAGCAAAAGACCACACAGAAAGACAAAGUCUGGCUGCAGCCUGCAUGUCUGGAUUCUUUUUUCUUCAUUAUUUCCCAUGUUCAAAACACAGACUGACAGAGCUUUUUUGGCAGUCGCAGGUUGGCAGCCAUUUCUGCUUUUUGAUACAUGCUGUACACAUCAAAAUGAAACCCACCUGAUCUCAGUGUGUACCCUCUUAUUUGCAGAAUAGAGUUUACUCGCCUACAGAGGCAUACAUAAAUAUUUAUGAGAUAAAUUUGCCAUCUACAUCACAGUGAGUAUCAUCAAACAGAUGCAAGUUAUAUGAAGAUAGGCUGCUUUUAAGGAGGAAGACAAAAUUGAAUUUUGUUUACAUUGCUUUUGUAGCUCUUGAUGCUCAGACUUUCCUAUUUUCCACUACAUCACUGCAUAAAUCAUCCUGUACAAACUUGACUUUAAUGUUAGUUUGUUUUCAGUGAACACAAUAAUGUGGUUUGCAAAAAAAGAAAAAUCACAGGAACCAAUAAUUUUUCCUCCCAAAUGGAACCAGGUAAUGAUUCCUGCAUGAAAAUAUUUACAUGGGAGCUAUAAAAGCAGAUACUGUGUCCUGUCUACCUGCUGCACAGUAUGAAACCAGGGACGCCUCUUUUUGCAGUUAUUGUUUCCAGCAAAGAUUCACUGCAGGGAAACCUUUGAAGAAGAUGGGCUUGUAAAAAGAGUUUGUAAGUAUUAUUGGUUUACUGCUGUGCUUUGUACUAAACAGCUUGAUCUGAAUAUAUAACUAGUCCUGCAGUCAGCAGCUCUCACUGAAUAUUUUGGAAUCUGUUAAGCCUCAUGUAGCUUAGAAAGAAACAAAGCUCUGAUCAAUUAUGAUACCAAAGAUGAGACAAUUAGUUCCUGCUGGUGGCCUCCCUUAUUUCAAGUCAUCAUGACUUCACCACAAAGUAAUGUCCUUCAAAUUCCCUCUGCAGGAGAACACCCGACUUACACUCCUUAUGUUUGUUUGCAGUGCUCAGCCUAUGCAGCUAAUGCAACUUUAUUUAUGAUCAUGUAUGAUGACAUUAGAGAGGGAUUCACUUUAUGGCCCAAUUUUAUGCUAUCCCUCCUCCACAUAUUGUGAGUUGCACACAAUUGGGAUGAGGUAUAACAAAACUAUGACCCUGUGUGGAGUUGUGUGUUGCUGUGCAUGGAAGUACAGCAUAAAUUGGACCGUCAUAAAUCUACUUUAUUGUGUUGUGUCUGUGUAUGUUUGCCCAAGUGUGAGUGGACUUGCUUUUUACUAUCCUGUGACGCCCAAAAAGGCCCCCGUGGGGAUAGAUAACCCUAAAAAAGUGGCCGCCUGUGGCUCAUUUAUCCUGCAGUUUAUUAGGAAACUGUCUGUUUUUAGGGUUGGGUGUUUGAGUUAAGAGUAAGGAUUGUAACUUACCAGUGAAUUAAAAUGUGUGUUUACUGUAGUUAAACAGAAACAUGUGGAGCUUGACCAUGCGAUCCAAGAGUGCUUUAAAAAAAGGGAAAAAAAUCUUCAAUUUUAGUGUGGCCUCUUAUGUGUAUGUGUGUGUGUGUGUGUGUGUGUGUGUGUGUGUGUGUGUGUGUGUGUGUGUGUGUGUGUGUGUGUGUGUGUGUGUGUGUGUAUGCAAUGCCGUCUAGUAUUACUUGGCACUAGCUGGCAGCUAUGUAGCUCAAUAGUGGAAUUAGGGUGUUAUUGGAUAUUGGAUGGACUGUAACACAUUACACCACUUCACUGUCAUGGGCGGCGGAGUGCUUAUAGCAAACAUCAAUUACUGUGCACACUCAAACAUGCACUCCUCCAAACACACACACAGACCGCACAAACCCUCACACAUGAUAACAUCCAUUUGAUACACACACAUGCCUUUUAUGAAAUUUGGAGCUUCAAAGUGAACGACAAAAGAGAGAUGUUUAAAAAAAUGUUUUCUCUGAGAGAUUUAGGGAAGAAGGAAAGUGUGCGCAGCACAUUAAGCAUGUUCUUCCCUUUAUGUGAGCAUGCAUAAAGCUCUUUUACAUCAUUUUAGAUAAUUUCUCGCUAGGCUCCAGCUAAAACGUAUUCUCUCCUUUUAUCAGCUUUUUUAUCGCUCUAUCCUCUUAACAAGCAUUUUCCUGUCUCUUCUUGCUAAGUACAAGCUUUUUUCAGAGCCUCACUCCCUUUCGUCAAUCUUUCCAUUUCACCAACUCCCAUUCAUUCAUCACAAUCAUUCUUUUUUGUCUUUGCUUUCAACCAAUUCCUCCUUUAGACUUGAUGUACUUUACAUUGCAGAUAUGAUGAAGUAUGGGUGUAGCACACUAUCUUGAAUCAGUCCUGACCUUUGGAGUGCAUAGUAUAAUUUCUGUGUUUUAAUGCAUUCUUGCAGUUAUUGCUGUCAGGGGAGCAAUAAUGUUGAUUGAAUUGUAAUGCUUGAAAUUGAAUCUUUUCUCUUUGUCUUCCUAUCCUCCUUCUCCACCUUCUAUCUGUCUCCAGAGACUCCUAUCUCCUUUUUAGUCUGGUUUUUCCAUUCUCUUUCACUCUCCAAAUCUUCACUUUCUCUCGUUGUUUACGCAGUUUUCAUAUCUGAAUCCACACUUGCUGGCUCAAUUCAGAUUUCUGUACAGCUGAUGUAGAUUUUAGAUGUAAAUGUGGAUCUCAAAGUUUCAGGAUCACUUUGGCAGAAUUUCAGGUGUGGAGUCUUUCUUUACAAGCACACUAACACACAGAAAUAUUCUGAUACUAACCUCAUUUAAGCUUGCACCAAACUUCCAUGUACUAGAAUGACAAAAGUAGCUGGUAAAUGUUACUUCAGCUGUCUUACUAACAUCGUUCUUAUCCCAUUGCCAACAUUUCUGGUUUUGCCUGGAUUUCUGGGAUAUGUGCAAAUGGCAGCUGCAGGAAAGGUAAAGGUUAGAAAAAGGUUGUUGUUUUGUUUUAUUAAAAUCCCAAUGAUAUUUGCAGGUCAGGACUGUCCAGUGUAGAUGUAAGUCUAAUGCAUCAGUCUUAUUUAAGCUGGUGUCUGCACUUGAGUGUAUAAGGCUGUUUUUUAGAAAAAUGAAAGGCCACUGCACAAAGAAUGGAAUUAAAUGUUGUUCUCGUUCAACGUUCUGGACAUACUCUGUUUGGUGUGGGCAAGCAGUGAUACUGGGUACAAUAAGCAGAUUGUUUUGGAGGACUUACCUGCAAUCUAGAUAACCAAGAAAUGAGGGGACAAUUUGCAGUCAAGCAACAAGGUCUGCAUAUAAGUCAGGACUGCUGCAGCAGUUGCGACCAAUACCAAGGUGAGACCACACAAGCUUUUUGUCUGUCAUAACAGUCACUGAGAAGCCUGUUGGUAGUCAACACUGUAGAUGUGUUCUAGGGUCACAAGAAGAGGACUGUCAAUACUUCAAAAAGAACUCAUGGUAAGAAUUCAAAACUCAAAAAUGAUAUUUGUCUCCUGUUUGUUCUUGGAGUAAACUAUUCCACUGAAUGUGAUGGGUUUCUUUUGUUUAUUACAGGAAUUGAUAGAAAGAGGAUGAAAACAACACAACUUUUAAAGCAGACUUAAAAAAACAUGAUUUUGAAUGUUUGAAAGACCCACUCUGAUGAAAAUCACAUUUUUCUUGCUGUCUUUAUGUUCAUGUGGCAUUUUUCUGAUGCUACGGGACAUACCAUGAGAAAACUAAGUGCAAAAUUCUAAUUCUGAGUAUUUUUUUCAUUCAAAUCACUGUGAAUCUCUGGCAGACCCAAACAGCAGGUUCAGACACAGUGGGAUUUUCUAUGUCACAAUUCCAUCUCUGCCCCCGGAGCCCCACUUUGCAGGCC
This is a non-coding RNA of Xyrichtys novacula (pearly razorfish), 4670 nucleotides long. NCBI's taxonomy places the organism in Eukaryota, Metazoa, Chordata, Actinopteri, Labriformes, Labridae. The record is from the annotation of a GenBank genome assembly.